This 612-nucleotide long non-coding RNA is filed under the name Solanum tuberosum (potato). RNAcentral's name for it is "long non-coding RNA (STUB_LNC009456)". Lineage: Eukaryota; Viridiplantae; Streptophyta; Magnoliopsida; Solanales; Solanaceae. The record is from RNAcentral.
AAGGUGGCACUUGGUAUAUGAUUCACAGUAAGCUUUAUGUUGUAAUGCAGCCCCAUUACAAAUAUUUUCCAUCUGGGAACACGACAUAAAUAACAAGACACUUUCACAGAACCAAUACUGUCGAUAUCUUUACAAGUGAAACCUUCCCCUCCCAACUAAUUACAUCGAAGUCAAAAGUUGGGAGGGAAUUUGUAUAUGUGGCUGACUGAGAUUUUGCUUUAUUAGAAUUAUAUAGAAAUACUAAGCUAUUGUUAUGGCAUAUUGACGUAGACUUUCCUAAAACGACACAAAUCAGUUGGUCUAUCACUAUUUCUAUCAUGGAGAUUAUUACUUAAUGCGCUAGAAACUUCUUGACAAGAUCAAACCAUGCAUCCUUGUGCUCCUCUUUCCCACUCUCUUUUAGAAAAACAGAAUUAGCUUUGGCACUUCUAUAGUUUUCAAGAAUCAGUAACUAGGAGAUUUGGAAUAUUGAGUUGUGUGGCUUGUACAAUAGAUAGGAUCAUCCUACCAAUAAAGUGAAAUAAUAUGCAUUUGGCGCCCAUCAACAAGAAAUAUGCCAAUCAAUUUUUCAAAAGAAAGGUAGUGGCGAAACAGAUUAGAUGACGUUGUGAC